UACAAAAAGUGCAAGCGUUAAUCGGAAUUACUGGGCGUAAAGCGCGCGUAGGCGGCUGAUUAAGUCGGGUGUGAAAGCCCCGGGCUCAACCUGGGAACUGCAUCCGAUACUGGUCGGCUAGAGUAUGGGAGAGGGAGGUAGAAUUCCACGUGUAGCGGUGAAAUGCGUAGAUAUGUGGAGGAAUACCGGUGGCGAAGGCGGCCUCCUGGCCUAAUACUGACGCUGAGGUGCGAAAGCGUGGGGAGCAAACCGG
RNAcentral lists this ribosomal RNA (253 nucleotides) under uncultured bacterium. Its description in RNAcentral is "partial 16S ribosomal RNA". It matches the Rfam family "Bacterial small subunit ribosomal RNA", at positions 524 to 776 of the family's 1533-position model. The record is from RNAcentral.